GCCGUAUUCACAACUGAUCUUAAGUUAAUUUUUUGACUUAAAUAUAAGAUUUUUCUUAUAUUGUGAGAAAUUUUCUUAGAUUUAAGAUAAGAAUCCGCAAUUUACUUAAGUGGUAUUCACAACUGUUUUUUAUCUUAAGUUUUGUCUUAAGAUGGACAAUUUUUGUCUUAAAUAUAAGUCAGCUACUACCCUAUCUUAAAGUUAAGAAAUUUCUUAACUUGGCAGUAAAUCAUCUUAAAAAUGGCGGACGGUAAAUCGUCGAUUCGAUUGAAAACUUGCGUUUUUUACUAGUAUUAGAUAUAUCAUUGAGAUAUUCAACGCCAAUAAUUACAGCAAUAAUGAUUAAGUUCAAAGUAAUUUAUACACACGAUAAGUGUGAGUAAAACAAGGGAGUUAAAUCGGCAAAAAUUGAAGACGCAAAGGAGACGCUCAUUUCAUAAACCGGAGUAUGAUCGUCAGUUUCUCGCUGAUGAUAUCACACUAUUCAUUAACCUCGGAUUUUGUAGUCAUCCAGACUGACAGUAGUAUGGAGAAUAAAGAUAUCAACAUAGUAGCAACAUGUUACAUAAUUUAUAAUGCUGCUGAACAUAGCAUUACUUCCUUGACCAAAUACAUGGAGAAUGAAUCGGGAUUAAUGUGUAGUGACUAUAUACUUCCAUAAUGUAUCAGAUUUUCUAUCUGACAGCUCAUGGCAUAUAACAUCAAAUAUCACCUGUUGCAGCUUUAAAUCAUGGACACUAAAUACAUGAAAAACACAUAGGAACAAUGAAGACUUAACAGUUACUGUGUUCAUAAACACUGGAACACAUCAGAGGAAUCAAACUCUAGAAGACCACUAGUAAUCCAAAAGAUUCAUACCUGGGUACAUCAUCAAGGAGCCUUAUUGUUACUAACUUUUAUGCAGGACAUGUCAUUAUCAAAUUUCUUGUGUGAUAAAAAAUGUGUGAUAAAAUGUAAAAUCUAUCAAGCCGAUUGUGUUCAUAAUAUGCAAGAGGAAUUGGUCCAAUGUUUUCAUCGAAAAACACAUGAACAUUCUAACUUGUGAGAAACUUGAAGACUAUCAAAAGGAUAACUAUGAAAGAAAAUUUCAUUCAUGGAAAAAGAACUGUGUGAAUUAAGAUCAGAAUUAACAUUUCCUAGUAAUUGUUUUCAUUAAGAUUAUCAGCACCACUUUUUAUAGAAGAAAAAAUGAAUGUUAUAUUCAUUCGGUAUGAC
Long non-coding RNA from Ruditapes philippinarum (Manila clam), 1215 nucleotides. RefSeq lists it as uncharacterized. The record is from RefSeq and is a predicted model, not a curated record. The transcript is spliced from 2 exons. NCBI's taxonomy places the organism in Eukaryota, Metazoa, Mollusca, Bivalvia, Venerida, Veneridae.